Molecule: transfer RNA, 68 nt
Filed under: Pylocheles mortensenii
Lineage: Eukaryota; Metazoa; Arthropoda; Malacostraca; Decapoda; Pylochelidae
Description: tRNA-Pro
Source: RNAcentral
CAGAAAAUAAUUUAAAUAAAAAUUUUAGUUUUGGGAAUUAAAAAUAAGAGUUGGUCUCUUUUUUCUGA